GGAGAGAUGGCCGAGAGGCUUAAGGCGGCGGUUUGCUAAACCGUUGUACGGUAGUAAUGUCGUACCGGGGGUUCGAAUCCCCCUCUCUCCG
Molecule: transfer RNA, 91 nt
Filed under: Reticulomyxa filosa
Lineage: Eukaryota; Foraminifera; Reticulomyxidae
Rfam family: tRNA
About the family: Transfer RNA (tRNA) molecules are approximately 80 nucleotides in length. Their secondary structure includes four short double-helical elements and three loops (D, anti-codon, and T loops). Further hydrogen bonds mediate the characteristic L-shaped molecular structure. tRNAs have two regions of fundamental functional importance: the anti-codon, which is responsible for specific mRNA codon recognition, and the 3' end, to which the tRNAs corresponding amino acid is attached (by aminoacyl-tRNA synthetases). tRNAs cope with the degeneracy of the genetic code in two manners: having more than one tRNA (with a specific anti-codon) for a particular amino acid; and 'wobble' base-pairing, i.e. permitting non-standard base-pairing at the 3rd anti-codon position.
Source: Rfam by way of RNAcentral